Molecule: unclassified non-coding RNA, 273 nt
Filed under: Ascomycota sp.
Lineage: Eukaryota; Fungi; Ascomycota
Description: partial contains small subunit ribosomal RNA, internal transcribed spacer 1, and 5.8S ribosomal RNA
Rfam family: Eukaryotic small subunit ribosomal RNA (bases 1-47)
Source: RNAcentral
AAAGUCGUAACAAGGUUUCCGUAGGUGAACCUGCGGAAGGAUCAUUACCGAGUUAGGGUCUUCUCAGGCCCGACCUCCCAACCCCAUGUCUACUUGACCACUUGUUGCUUCGGCGGGCCCGUCUUCACCGACCGCCGGGGGACCGUCAAAACGUCCUCUGGCCCGCGUCCGCCGACGGCCGUCAUCAAAACUCUUGUCUAAAACGUGUCAUUUGUCUGAGUAAAUUUAUGAAAAUAAGCAAAAAAACUUUCAACAACGGAUCUCUUGGUUCUG